Molecule: ribosomal RNA, 406 nt
Filed under: uncultured bacterium
Lineage: Bacteria
Description: partial 16S ribosomal RNA
Rfam family: Bacterial small subunit ribosomal RNA
Source: RNAcentral
AUUGAACGCUGGCGGCAGGCCUAACACAUGCAAGUCGAGCGAGCGGCGGACGGGUGAGUAAUGUCUGGGAAACUGCCUGAUGGAGGGGGAUAACUACUGGAAACGGUAGCUAAUACCGCGUACCAUAAGAUGUGCCCAGAUGGGAUUAGCUGGUAGGUGGGGUAACGGCGCACCUGGGCGACGAUCCCUAGCUGGUCUGAGAGGAGGACCAGCAACACUGGAACGGAGACCCUGUCCCGACUCCUACGGGAGGCCGCAGUGGGUGAUAUGUCACAAUGGGCGCAAGCCUGAUGCAGCCAUGCCGCGGGUGGGAAGAAGGCCUUCGGGUUGUAAAGCACUUUCAGCGGGGCGGCGUUACCCGCAGAAGAAGCACCGGCUAAGUCCGUGCCAGCAGCCGCGGUAAUAC